RNAcentral lists this ribosomal RNA (387 nucleotides) under Triticum aestivum (bread wheat). RNAcentral describes it as "partial small subunit ribosomal RNA". The record is from RNAcentral. Lineage: Eukaryota; Viridiplantae; Streptophyta; Magnoliopsida; Poales; Poaceae.
AUGGAACAUAGCAAAGCUCCAGGCCCCGAUGGUUCCCCCUUGGAGUUCUAUCAGAACUUCUUGGAUGUCAUCAAGACUGACCUAAUGGAGUUGUUCAAUUUUUUUCAUGUCGACCAACUAGACCUAUCCAGGCUUAAUUUUGGCUAGAUUGUUUUAUUGCCAAAGACUAAGGAGGCCGAACGGAUUCAACAGUUCAGAACAAUCUGCCUCCUUAAUACCAGCUUCAGUAUUUUCACCAAAGUGGCGACUAAUAGGCUCAACACGGUUGCUGAUCAUGUUGUUCAACCAUCGCAAAAGGCUUUCAUGCAAGGACGAAAUAUACUCGAUGGAGUAGUAAUCCUUCACGAGACCGUUCACGAGAUGCACUGGAAGAACAUGGUGGAGUAG